Molecule: unclassified non-coding RNA, 810 nt
Filed under: Hevea brasiliensis (rubber tree)
Lineage: Eukaryota; Viridiplantae; Streptophyta; Magnoliopsida; Malpighiales; Euphorbiaceae
Source: RNAcentral
CCCUUUCCUCUAUUUUCUUCCCCCUUUCCGUUGCUUUUCUGAUUGGUUGUGACCAAGUCACAACAACUUUAACGUAGGAUCUCUAUGGAAUAAACACAGGUAGCACCUUGGCUGCAUAAUAUUUAUAUUUUUGGUGCAAGAGGAGUGCGCUACAGCUUGAACCUAGGAUCUCUACCCACACCUCACCACUCUACCCCCUGCACUGGCCACAGGUGGCAUCUUGGCAAUAUGUUAUACAUAUAUAACUAUGGCUUGAACCUAGGAUCUCACCCACAUCUCAGCCACCUCCAACCUCGGCAAGGCGCAGGUGGCAACUUGGCAAUAAUGUUCUUCUUGUUCUGCAAUCUUAAAUAGAAGGGAUUAUUUGUGCAUACUGUCUGAAGUUACUGCACUGUAGCUUUCUCUAGAUUAAUGCCUUAUGUAGGAGACAUCUAUCAAGAAGAUUGUUGGAUUGGAUAUGACAAUGACGUCUAUGCUCCACUGAUUCUGUCUUAUUUAAUAGAAUGCCUUACUGCACCCAUUUUUCUUUUGCAAUAGGCUCAUCUUCCUAAAAUAUCAGGAUUAUUAUUGUUUUCAUCUCUGUGUUAUAUUCUUUGGGUAUGACAUUGAUGUCUAUAUGUAAAAGAUUUUCAGCUUCUCUUUCUUUGAGGUCUUAUGAAGAGUCUUCUAUUUUCACAGGUUGAUAGAAGGUACAGACAGUAUUAUCAUCAGAUGCAGAUUGUGGUGUCAUCAUUUGAUGUGAUAGCGGGAUGUGGGGCAGCUAAACCAUACUCGGCACUUGCCCUCCAGACUAUAUCCCGCCACUUUCGG